AUUGAACGCUGGCGGCAGGCCUAACACAUGCAAGUCGAACGGUAACAGGAAGAAGCUUGCUUCUUUGCUGACGAGUGGCGGACGGGUGAGUAAUGUCUGGGAAACUGCCUGAUGGAGGGGGAUAACUACUGGAAACGGUAGCUAAUACCGCAUAAUGUCGCAAGACCAAAGAGGGGGACCUUCGGGCCUCUUGCCAUCGGAUGUGCCCAGAUGGGAUUAGCUAGUAGGUGGGGUAACGGCUCACCUAGGCGACGAUCCCUAGCUGGUCUGAGAGGAUGACCAGCCACACUGGAACUGAGACACGGUCAGACUCCUACGGGAGGCAGCAGUGGGGAAUAUUGCACAAUGGGCGCAAGCCUGAUGCAGCUAUGCCGCGUGUAUGAAGAAGGCCUUCGGGUUGUAAAGUACUUUCAGCGGGGAGGAAGGGAGUAAAGUUAAUACCUUUGCUCAUUGACGUUACCCGCAGAAGAAGCACCGGCUAACUCC
RNAcentral lists this ribosomal RNA (486 nucleotides) under uncultured bacterium. Its description in RNAcentral is "partial 16S ribosomal RNA". It matches the Rfam family "Bacterial small subunit ribosomal RNA", at positions 30 to 504 of the family's 1533-position model. The record is from RNAcentral.